This 301-nucleotide ribosomal RNA is filed under the name uncultured bacterium. Its description in RNAcentral is "partial 16S ribosomal RNA". It matches the Rfam family "Bacterial small subunit ribosomal RNA", at positions 509 to 808 of the family's 1533-position model. The record is from RNAcentral.
CAGUAGCCGCGGGAAUACGGAGGGGGCAAGCGCUAUCCGGAAUUAUUGGGCGUAAAGGGUACGUAGGUGGCCUUUUAAGCGUAGGGUAUAAGGCAAUGGCUCAACCAUUGUUCGCCCUAUGAACUGGAAGGCUUGAGUGCAGGAGAGGAAAGCGGAAUUCCUAGUGUAGCGGUGGAAUGCAUAGAUAUUAGGAGGAACAUCAGCGGCGAAGGCGGCUUUCUGGACUGCAACUGACACUGAGGCGCGAAAGCGUGGGGAGCAAACAGGAUUAGAUACCCCAGUAGUCCCUGUCUCUUAUACA